This is a long non-coding RNA of Amphiprion ocellaris (clown anemonefish), 499 nucleotides long. NCBI's taxonomy places the organism in Eukaryota, Metazoa, Chordata, Actinopteri, Pomacentridae. The record is from Ensembl.
GUCCUAUGGAGGAGGCAGCAGAGACUCUGCUCUCCUCGUUUGGAUUAAUUCUGAUAUAAUAACUGUUGGUUUAUUUAUCGGUGGAGCAGCACAACAUUUUCCACAGACAGUUUUCCUGCCUGUUGGCUUGUUUAACCAGUUUUCUACCUUCGGCUGAUUCUACCAGCAGACACUGAAAGGACUCUGAUAGUUCGAAUGAAAGCAGCAAUUCCUCCUUAAGGUCAGAGAUUGCAGCAUCUGAGGGCCUCUUCAAAAGAAGACGUAGUUGAUGAAGGCGUUCUGGAGCAGGACCAGAAAGACCACGACCAAGCAGCCUUGAGAUCUUAGGCAGCGUCUCCCUCGGACCAAAGAACUACAGACUCUUCACAACCUGCUCAAACUCUUGGUACAGGACCUCACCACAUGGGUCAAGAAGGUUUCCGUCUCAUUUCUACUCUGAAGCUCACCUUCUCCUGCUCAAACUGCUGACAAAUGUUUCUGCUGCUCUAAAGUCUGGUCU